CUCUCUUCAAUUUUUAUUUUAGUUGUAUUUCUAAUUAUACCUGGAUGUGUGUGAACAUUGUGUGAACACAAUGCUUCUCCAUAAUUUUCCUUUUUUAACAAUUCUCACCUCUCCUUAUUUCCUUUGCAUUUAAGGACUUGGAUCACCAACUAGAGGACAAACUCCAUAUGCUGACUGCAAACGAGUCAGACAUUCCAAUACAAACAGUGCGGAGCAGUCACGGUUCUGACAAAUCAGAUGGAUCUGAAAUCCACUUCACUCACAGCAGACUCAAUAAUAUAAGCAUUUCAGAAAGAAGCUUAUAUUAGAAUAACUUGUAGCAGUAGAAUUAGGGAACAGUUCAUGGCUCUGGGGUGGUGACAGUUUAGGACAAGUUUCCAUGUUACAUAUAACACUAUGCAGUUGCUGAAUUCCUUCCUCUAGCACAGGAAAUAUAGGCCAAACGGUUCCUGAAUUCAGACAAGGUUGAAACGUUCUACACAAACCUUCCAAAGACUACUGUGAUGUACAUCAGUGAACCACACAGAGGUGGCUAAACAAAAUUUUGGGGUUGGUAUAGAUGAUUUUCUGUCUUCACUGAAGAUGUUUUCCCUGUGCCAUUUCUCCUAAUAAUUUAAUUCAAUAGCAACACACAAGCAGUAGGUUUUGUGUACAAACAUAAUGUUAUAUAAACAGAUCAAUGUCACUGGAGAGACUGUUCCACACCACAGUAAUCCCCAUCGGUACUUUCUUUGACGCACCGCACCUGGCAAAUGCGGCCAAGAGACAGAGGUGAAGCUCGGGGCCGGGGCGGUAACUGAGGGGCGGCAGAAGAACGUGGGCCGCCACCAGGAAACCCGACCGCCAUUUUGGGCGAGGUCAAUAGCGCCACAGCGGGGCGCGGGCCCGCGCCAAGAUGGCCGCCAGCCAACGGCUGCCCGGCGGGCACCUCCCGCCGCGUCCCGGAUGCAGUCGGGAGAGAACCGGAAGUGGUUCCCUCAUGCCGGAAGUGGCGCCGUUCCGGGGUGGUGAUGGCAGCGGGCCGGCAGCGGCGGCGCGGACUGGCGAGUCCCUCCGCCUCCCGGUGCGGCGGCGCGGGCUGAGGGGAGCGGGCCGCCUGUCGCCGUUCUCCCGCUCCCUCCUUCUCCGCUGGAGGAAGGUGCAGAGCAUG
RNAcentral lists this long non-coding RNA (1150 nucleotides) under Numida meleagris (helmeted guineafowl). Its description in RNAcentral is "lncRNA (ENSNMEG00000010598.1)". Lineage: Eukaryota; Metazoa; Chordata; Aves; Galliformes; Numididae. The record is from RNAcentral.